UACGUAGGGGGCGAGCGUUGUCCGGAUUUAUUGGGCGUAAAGAGCGUGUAGGCGGCCAGGUAGGUCUGCUGUGAAAACUCGAGGCUCAACCUCGAGACGUCGGCGGAAACCAUCUGGCUAGAGUCCGGAAGAGGAGAGUGGAAUUCCUGGUGUAGCGGUGAAAUGCGCGGAUAUCAGGAAGAACACCCGUGGCGAAGGCGGCUCUCUGGGACGGUACUGACGCUGAGACGCGAAAGCGUGGGGAGCGAACAGG
This 253-nucleotide ribosomal RNA is filed under the name uncultured bacterium. RNAcentral's name for it is "partial 16S ribosomal RNA". It matches the Rfam family "Bacterial small subunit ribosomal RNA", at positions 524 to 776 of the family's 1533-position model. The record is from RNAcentral.